Gasterosteus aculeatus aculeatus (three-spined stickleback) is the source of this 1186-nucleotide long non-coding RNA. The record is from Ensembl. Lineage: Eukaryota; Metazoa; Chordata; Actinopteri; Perciformes; Gasterosteidae.
GUGGGGAUAAAACCCACACUUUUUACGGACCUUGCCUGCUGCUGCGUUCGGGUGCUGAGGGCCUCACUGGUGAUCCUGUUUGGUGAUGGUGUCCCUUCGUGUGUAGUGUCUUAUUCACUCCCCUCCUUUGUUUUGCUUUGCCCUUGUGUGUUUGGAGUGUUAAUUUUGGAUUGUGGUGCUCCCAUUUUAAGUUUAUACUUUCACCCCUCACUCACCUUGAGCACAAAUGCCCCAGCCCUGGAAUACAUGAUAAUUUAUACAAAUAGGAUAACUUUUUUAGAUUUGAAUUGUGCCCAAUAAACUGUUGUAUAUGCUUUUGGAAACACGUCUCUCGCCUGCUCAGUGUAACGAACUUGUGUUGUCCUUUUGUUUAGAUUUAGUAAUUUACCUUAUUCAUAGAUUUCUUUCUUUUCCCUGGGUGAUUUCUCCCAGGGUGGCGUUGCUGGUUUCCUUUAGUUUCUUUCUUUUUCCCCUAGUUAAAAACAUAGAUUAUUGGGGUAGUUCCUACCCCACCUCACGCUUGCCACAAACUUGGCGUUGCUGGCAGGACUUAUACUGAAAAAAAAAGGGCAGAGACGUGUGUUCCUUUGUUUUUUGUUGUUUGUUUUUUCAGCAGCAGUCCCCUGGCAACCAUGGAGGAAGAAAUGCAAGAGUUGCGAGCUCUGGUUGCGCAGUUAAAGGCUGACAAUGAGAGGUUGCGUCAAGCUUCGUUGGUGCCGCCCUCUAGUGCUACACCUUCAACCUCCUCAGUACUGCCGACUGCCCUUACUUCUGCCAGUGCCCCUGCAGCCGAGAGGUUAGUGUUCGUGCCCCGAGACAGAAAGUGCCCUAUGUUUAGAGGAAGGUCAGGGAUAGCUCUGAGCGAGUGGCUUGAAGAGCUACAGUCGUGUAUGCGGGCUCGUCAUUUAGCCCCAGCUGAUCAGGCCUACUUUCUGUAUGACCAUUUAGAGGGAGAAGCACGGGAGGAAAUUAAAUACCGCCCCAGCACAGAGCGCGGGGAUCCAGCUAGACUAAUCACUAUAUUACAAGAACUCUAUGGCUGUUCUGAGUCGUAUGUGGCCUUGCAGGAAGCAUUCUUCUCUCGUAAGCAACAUGAAGGGGAAACGCUACUCGAAUUUUCGCUCGCUCUCAUGAGCCUUAUGGAAAGGGUGAAGCAGCGUGCACCGCCUGGAAUGCUUAAUACAGA